ACGCACGCUGGCGGCGUGCUUAACACAUGCAAGUCGAACGGAAAGGCCCUGCUUUUGUGGGGUGCUCGAGUGGCGAACGGGUGAGUAACACGUGAGUAACCUGCCCUUGACUUUGGGAUAACUUGAGGAAACUGGGGCUAAUACCGGAUAGGAGCUCCUGCUGCAUGGUGGGGGUUGGAAAGUUUCGGCGGUUGGGGAUGGACUCGCGGCUUAUCAGCUUGUUGGUGGGGUAGUGGCUUACCAAGGCUUUGACGGGUAGCCGGCCUGAGAGGGUGACCGGCCACAUUGGGACUGAGAUACGGCCCAGACUCCUACGGGAGGCAGCAGUGGGGAAUAUUGCACAAUGGGCGGAAGCCUGAUGCAGCAACGCCGCGUGCGGGAUGACGGCCUUCGGGUUGUAAACCGCUUUCGCCUGUGACGAAGCGUGAGUGACGGUAAUGGGUAAAGAAGCACCGGCUAACUACGUG
This 467-nucleotide ribosomal RNA is filed under the name uncultured bacterium. RNAcentral's name for it is "partial 16S ribosomal RNA". It matches the Rfam family "Bacterial small subunit ribosomal RNA", at positions 29 to 507 of the family's 1533-position model. The record is from RNAcentral.